Molecule: ribosomal RNA, 393 nt
Filed under: uncultured bacterium
Lineage: Bacteria
Description: partial 16S ribosomal RNA
Rfam family: Bacterial small subunit ribosomal RNA
Source: RNAcentral
AUACGGAGGAUGCAAGCGUUAUCCGGAUUUAUUGGGUUUAAAGGGUGCGUAGGCGGUUUGCUAAGCGGGAGGUGAAAUGCCGGCGCUCAACGUCGGAAGUGCCUCCCGAACUGGUGGACUGGAAUGACUCUGCCGUGGGAGGAAUGUGUAGUGUAGCGGUGAAAUGCUUAGAGAGUACACAGAACACCGAUUGCGAAGGCAUCUCAGGAAGAGUUGAUUGACGCUGAGGCACGACAGCGUAGGGAUCAAACAGGAUUAGAUACCCUGGUAGGCCACGCAGUAAACGUUGAUGGCUAACCGCUGGUUUAUUCGGAUCAGUGGCCAAGCGAAAGCGAUAAGCCAUCCACCUGGGGAGUACGACCGCAAGGUGGAAACUCAAAUGAAUUGACGGUG